RNAcentral lists this ribosomal RNA (252 nucleotides) under uncultured bacterium. RNAcentral describes it as "partial 16S ribosomal RNA". It matches the Rfam family "Bacterial small subunit ribosomal RNA", at positions 524 to 776 of the family's 1533-position model. The record is from RNAcentral.
UACGUAGGGGGCUAGCGUUAUCCGGAAUUACUGGGCGUAAAGGGUGCGUAGGUGGUUUCUUAAGUCAGAGGUGAAAGGCUACGGCUCAACCGUAGUAAGCCUUUGAAACUGGGGAACUUGAGUGCAGGAGAGGAGAGUGGAAUUCCUAGUGUAGCGGUGGAAUGCGUAGAUAUAUGGAGGAACACCGGUGGCGAAAGCGGCUCUCUGGCCUGUAACUGACACUGAGGCUCGAAAGCGUGGGGAGCAAACAGG